This is a long non-coding RNA of Dermochelys coriacea (leatherback sea turtle), 2854 nucleotides long. RefSeq lists it as uncharacterized. Lineage: Eukaryota; Metazoa; Chordata; Testudines; Dermochelyidae. The record is from RefSeq and is a predicted model, not a curated record. The transcript is spliced from 5 exons.
CUGAUAGGAUCUUUUUAGGAAAAUCUUUCUCCUCUUGUUUUAUACCCAUCAUCCCUCAAGAACUUCUGCUUCAAUCAACUUUCUUCCCGCUGAAGAUGAAGUUCCUUUUGAAGCCCUACAAAUCAAUCAAAUGGAGUUACUAUAGGCACAUGCCACCCACCAGGGCUCAGCUUAUGGCUUGUGCGCCCAGUCUCUGCCGGUCUGGGGUGCAGAAAGGUAGACCCAGAAGCAAAUUUUUGUGUAGCAAGUCUGGAGUGAUAGAACUGGGAGAGAGGAGAGGGCUCAUAGAGAAGAUAAAGAGACUUUGUUGUGGUUUUUGUUAAAAACAAAAAGAGGAAAUGUUUGUUUUCAGCAGCCAAAACAUUUCUACUCAAACCUUCCAUUUUUCAGUUGCCAGAAGUCAACAUUUUUCAGUUUUUGGGCCGAAAUUAAUGGUUUUCAGUUGCCAUGAUUUUUUCUCUCAGUUUUCUUUGAAGGCAACAUUUCAAGGACAUUGAAAAUGUUUUCAUUGUCACUUAAAUUUGUUCAUAUGACCAAAAAACAUUUCCCAACCAACCAGCUCUACUGAGGACUAAGCUAUGCCCCCAUUCAGGCACAACCCAUUACUGGGGGGAGAGGGGGCAGUGUGGCAUCACAUUGCAAUAGAGGGAACUUGAGGAGGGAGGGAUUUCCCCUGGGGAAAAAUACAUUUCCUUCCUGAACAUGCCUGGUGCACAAAAAGAUUGUGCACUAUUUUUUGGGGGGGCGGUCUCCUUCUGAAACCACUGCUUAUCCGAGCCCCUUAAAAUAAUCAGUUGUGCUAGUAUGAACAAUGCUCUAUGGACCCAAGCCACAGACCUAAUGGUGAGCUCCCAGAAUAGGAUACAGCUGCUGCAUCUGCAGUGCAGACACUGGUAAUGUGCAUCUUUCAUGCUCAGACAGUGCUCAGUAAAAGCACACUUGUAUUUUUUAUAAUGCUCAGCAACUGUUUGCUAAGUCUGGUCUAUAGCAAUGAGUUUCUAUAGAGCAGCUGAACAGAAAUCUUUUGUCACUCAUUUUGCUAUUUUUAGCAAUAUUUAGUCUGCACUAAAUCUUAACAAAUCACCAAAGUUUUUCACCUUCCAGAACAAUGCACUAUGAUAGAAAAGAUACAGAUUUCUGGGAAUCAUCCCACACAGAAAAUUGGUCCUAUUUUGUAUGUACAAUGUAGGGACCCAUUUUUUUUUUAAGGUAAAUCAGGUAGUGAAAUAUAUAUAAUUUUGAAAAGCAGUCUUUGCAGAUAUAGCAAAUUCAUUAACACUUCCCCCAGUUUUAAAGAGAAAGUGUUGCUCUCCGCAUAUCAAUGCCAGCACAAAUCAACACAAACAAUUGUUAAGUCAUUAGCAAAGACUGAACGCCAGUAGUCCUAAUGUUAAGCCUUCUGGUGCUCUCCCUGGAAUUGUUUGACUUGAUUGCAUCCGGUUACAUUUACAAUCUGUUUUCUGUUAUUGGCUGAUAGGCUGACAGCCAUUUAAAUUCUUAUUCAGAAAAAUCCAAGAGCACUCACCUUUUGCUCUCAAAAGGAUGAGUCACUGAAAUCAAUGAUUGAUGCAGGGCAUUAAAGAGAAGGGUGGAUUUCUGUGAGGUGCUGAGUACCCUCAACUGAAGACAACACCUCACAGGAUCAGGCCAUUAGCUAUUAUGAAUGAAUAGCCUCCUAGAACAGCCUGGGAGAGAUGACUUUUUUUCAUGGUGGAGUGCUAUCUGCUCUAUUCAUUUAAAAUGGAGCAGAUUGUUCCUUAUGGCUGCUCACCAGGACUGUAUGAAGUGGUAUGAGACAGUCCCAAAUAAGGAGAAGCAGGAGUGAGUGGUUCCUGUGCUGCCUCAAGAACAUACUGUUAUUGCAAGUGGCCCCAGUGCAGCCAUUCAAGGGAGGGGGGCAGGGGGGAGAAGGAAGCUUCUUACUUGCCUUUCUGCCUGUGUGUGGCCAUGAAGAGGCAACUCUCAAUCAGAGUUUGAGUUCUAGAGAAAGAGAGGUUCAAGCUUCCAUGCAGUGAAGAUUUUGGUCCUUGCUUGUAGACAAAUCCAAGUAUCAGAGCAAUAUGUCAGAAAUGGAAACACCUUCUGUAAUGAGAGAUGGCAGCCAUGCUAGUCUUAUAUCAGAUUAAACUUUCAACCAUCUGGGUCAGGAAAUAUAUAUCAGUGGUGCUGAUUUGGGAUUCAUUGAGUGUUUAAUCCAUUCACAGACUUCAGACCAACUUCAGGGAACAGAGUGGUGCACUGACCCAGUCCAUUGAAUUGGAUCUUCUGGCUAGUGACCCCUGCGAGAACUUUGACCAGAACCCUGGACUGCCUCUGAUGCAGAGUGACUUGCCAGUAUUCACAGCAUUCUGUUGUUUUAAGCUCCUGAGCAAUGACGAAUGAGGUGUAAGCAUCACUGCGCUUCUCCUUCAGAAUCACCUGCCUGACUCCGUCUCAUUGUAAAAUCAACCUACUAAUAAAAAAUUUGACUAAUCUUUCCUUCUAGAGAUGUAUAAGUCUAAACUUGGAAACAUCUGAAUAGAUUUAGGAGCCAUUUUGGUUUGGAACUAAGAAUUCAAACAUGCAUCCAUAGCUUUGAGGUGUGUGAAAGAGAACAGAGCAUGUAGGAAGGAGGUUAUUCUGGAGAUGGGUCUGCUUCCAAGUUAUUCAGAAUUAAACUAAAUUAGCCAUUUUAUCAAGUAAUUACAAUAGCUCAAUUGGAACCUCCCUGAGUAACACUUUUGUUAGCAUGGGUUUCACAUUUUGACCUUCUGUUAAUGUAAUGUUUAAUUAAAUGUAUGAAAACUAGUUUUAUAAUUGCUUCUUCCUUUGCAUGUUCUCUUGUGAUCUCUACUGCAAAUGUUGUGUAAAUGUG